This is a non-coding RNA of Triticum urartu, 278 nucleotides long. The record is from RefSeq and is a predicted model, not a curated record. Lineage: Eukaryota; Viridiplantae; Streptophyta; Magnoliopsida; Poales; Poaceae.
UGCCCGAGGAGAUUAGUUCGUUGUUGCUAUCUGAAUGUACCAGUGAUGUUUUUGGUCCUUUUUUAGGCUAUCUUGAACGAUUGCAGGUUUUAAUCAAGAAGUCCUCAAUAGGUGGACUAGCUCAAAAUGGAGAAGCACGCUGGUAGCUUUUUGGUUGAUUGUAUUAAGCAUUUAAGUUCAUAGCAAUUCAUACCAUCAAUAUCUUUGGGGUGCCUUGUACUCCUUCCAUAAAAUAAUACAAGAGCGUAGUGAUCUAAACACUCUUAUAUUAUAGUUUA